This 422-nucleotide ribosomal RNA is filed under the name uncultured bacterium. RNAcentral describes it as "bacterial SSU rRNA". It matches the Rfam family "Bacterial small subunit ribosomal RNA", at positions 355 to 774 of the family's 1533-position model. The record is from RNAcentral.
UAAGGAAUAUUGGACAAUGGAGGCAACUCUGAUCCAGCCAUGCCGCGUGAAGGAAUAAGGCCCUAUGGGUUGUAAACUCCUUUUAGACGGGGCAAAACCCCUUUACGUGUAAAGGGUUGAUGGUACUGUCAGAAUAAGCAUCGGCUAACUUCGUGCCAGCAGCCGCGGUAAUACGAAGGAUGCAAGCGUUAUCCGGAAUUAUUGGGUUUAAAGGGUGCGUAGGCGGACUAAUAAGUCAGUGGUGAAAGCCUGCAGCUUAACUGCAGAAUUGCCAUUGAUACUGUUAGUCUUGAGUACAGUUGAGGUAGGCGGAAUGUGUCAUGUAGCGGUGAAAUGCUUAGAUAUGACACAGAACACCGAUUGCGAAGGCAGCUUGCUAAGCUGCAACUGACGCUGAGGCACGAAAGCGUGGGGAGCAAACA